AAGAGUUUGAUCAUAGCUCAGGAUGAACGCUAGCGGUGCGCCUAACACAUGCAAGUCGAACGGACGUGAUUGGCAACACAGAACCUAUAAUUUAGUUAUAAGGUAUCAGAAGGCAGAAGGCAGGUAUCAGAAAGGAAGAUUUUUAAUAAAUCUAUUAAAUAAAUCCAUUCUAAUUACUGAUCCCUGAUAACUGAUAUCUCAUUAACAAAUUGUCAGUUAUGCGUUGUCAGUCACGUUAGUGGCAAACGGGUGAGUAACAAGUUUGUACCUACCCCAAAGUGAGGGAUAGCCCGGAGAAAUCCGGAUUAAUACCGCAUAUGACCUACGGGUUAAAGCCGCAAGGCGCUUUGGGAGGGGCAUGCUUUCUAUCAGCUAGUUGGUGAGGUAAUAGCUCACCAAGGCUAUGACGGAUAGUUGGUCUGAGAGGACGACCAGCCACAAUGGAACUGAGACACGGUCCAUACUCCUACGGGAGGCAGCAGUGAGGAAUCUUCCGCAAUGGGCGAAAGCCUGACGGAGCGACACCGCGUGGAGGAUGACGCGUUUACUCGUGUAAACUCCUUUUCUGUGGGAAGAUAAUGACGGUACCACAGGAAUAAGGGGCGGCAAACUACGUGCCAGCAGCCGCGGUAAUACGUAGGCCCCAAGCGUUAUCCGGAAUUACUGGGUGUAAAGCGUCUGUAGGUGGGAAUACAAGUCUUCUAUGAAAGACCGGAGCUCAACUCCGUGUUUGUGGGAGAUACUAUAUUUCUAGAAUCGGGGAGAGGGAAGCAGAAUUGUAUGAGUAGGGGUGCAAUCCGUUGAUACAUACAAGAAUACCAAAAGCGAAGGCAGCUUCCUGGAACCGUAUUGACACUGAGAGACGAAAGCGUGGGGAGCGAAAAGGAUUAGAUACCCUUGUAGUCCACGCCCUAAACGAUGGGUACUGAGUGUUGGGACUUGUUCCCAGUGCUUCAAGCUAACGCAUUAAGUACCCCACCUGAGGAGUACGGCCGCAAGGUUAAAACUCAAAUGAAUAGACGGGGACCCACACAAGCAGUGGAUCAUGUGGUUUAAUUCGACAAUAAACGGGGAACCUUACCUAGGCUUGACAUCCUACGAAUCCGGCGGAAACGUUGGAGUGCUCGCAAGAGAAUGUAGAGACAGGCGCUGCAUGGUUGUCGUCAGCUCGUGCCUUGAGGUGUUCGGUUAAGUCCGUUAACGAGCGCAACCCACGUCAUUAGUUACUAUGUCUAAUGAGACUGCCUGAGUUAAUCAGGAGGAAGGUGUGGAUGACGUCAAAUCAGCAUGGCCCUUAUGCCUAGGGCUACACACAUGAUACAAUGGUCGGUACAAAGAGUUGCAAACCCGCGAGGGCAAGCUAAUCUCAUAAAGCCGAUCUCAGUCCAGAUUGGAGGCUGCAACUCGCCUCCAUGAAGUUGGAAUUGCUAGUAAUCGUGAAUCAGACAUGUCACGGUGAAUAUGUUCCUGGGUCUUGUACUCACCGCCCGUCAUGGCAUGGAAGGUGGUUCUGCUGGAAGCCCCCGAAGCAAUAUUGGGGUCCAUAGUAAAAUCACUAACUGGGCUAAAGUCGUAACAAGGUAUCCGUACGAGAACGUGCGGAUGGACUAUCUCCUUA
Molecule: ribosomal RNA, 1618 nt
Filed under: Candidatus Gracilibacteria bacterium CG_4_10_14_0_8_um_filter_38_28
Lineage: Bacteria; Candidatus Altimarinota
Also listed under: 1 other name
Description: bacterial SSU rRNA
Rfam family: Bacterial small subunit ribosomal RNA
Source: RNAcentral